UGACCUGGCGGCAGGCUUACACAUGCAAGUCGAACGGUAACGGGAAGAAGCUUGCUUCUUUGCCGACGAGUGGCGGACGGGUGAGUAAUGCUUGGGAAUCCGGCUUAUGGAGGGGGAUAACUACGGGAAACUGUCGCUAAUACCGCGUAAUAUCUACGGAUUAAAGGGUGGGACUUUCGGGCCACCCGCCAUAAGAUGAGCCCAAGUGGGAUUAGGUAGUUGGUGGGGUAAAGGCCUACCAAGCCUGCGAUCUCUAGCUGGUCUGAGAGGAUGACCAGCCACACCGGGACUGAGACACGGCCCGGACUCCUACGGGAGGCAGCAGUGGGGAAUAUUGCACAAUGGGGGGAACCCUGAUGCAGCCAUGCCGCGUGAAUGAAGAAGGCCUUCGGGUUGUAAAGUUCUUUCGGUAACGAGGAAGGUGUGUUGUUUAAUAGACAAAGCAAUUGACGUUAACUACAGAAGAAGCACCGGCUAACUCCGUGCCAGCAGCCGCGGUAAU
This 502-nucleotide ribosomal RNA is filed under the name uncultured bacterium. RNAcentral's name for it is "bacterial SSU rRNA". It matches the Rfam family "Bacterial small subunit ribosomal RNA", at positions 36 to 524 of the family's 1533-position model. The record is from RNAcentral.